This is a non-coding RNA of Sorex araneus (European shrew), 423 nucleotides long. The record is from the annotation of a RefSeq genome assembly. Lineage: Eukaryota; Metazoa; Chordata; Mammalia; Eulipotyphla; Soricidae.
UUCCUUCGAAUCAUGGACCUCGUGGGCAGGAACGUGCACCAGCACUGGUUCCUCCUCUUUCUGGUGGCAGCUCCCGGAUGUGUUCUGUCCCAGGUACAGGUGCAGGAUUCUGGACCAAGCCUGGUGACGCCCUCACAGACGCUGUCCCUCACCUGCUCGGUUUCUGGAUUCUCUCUAAUGAGCUAUGAUGUAAGCUGGGUCCGCCUGGCCCCUGGAAAGGGGCUGGAAUGGAUUGGUAUUAUAUAUGCUAGUGGAAACACAAAGUAUAACCCGAGUCUUCAGUCUCGAGUCAGCAUCACCAGGGACACCUCCAAGAACCAAGUUUACCUAAAACUGAGCAACUCAGUAACUGAGGACACAGCCUUGUAUUACUGUGCAAGAGGCAUAGUGAAUGAGAUUAUCCACAUUUAUCCUUCUCCCUGA